RNAcentral lists this long non-coding RNA (382 nucleotides) under Gossypium raimondii (Peruvian cotton). RNAcentral describes it as "long non-coding RNA (GRAI_LNC005294)". The record is from RNAcentral. Lineage: Eukaryota; Viridiplantae; Streptophyta; Magnoliopsida; Malvales; Malvaceae.
AUACCAUCAUCUUAUUGGAUAAGGAUAAAGCUCAAGUUGUUUAAGCAUGUCUCCUCUGUUCCUAAGCCACACAAGAUGUAGAUAGGUUCUAUGCCUUCAAGCCUUUAGAUGUAGGUUUAAGACUAUCAUAAAUACUAGUGCAACAUUUAGGCUCGAAUAUGUCAAAAUGUCACCUUUGAGUUUUGACAAAACAUAGUUGUUGUUGUUGUUGUUCUAAUAUAAGUUCGACAUAAAUAGGAACGAUUAAGCAUGGUUAAAACUCCAACAAACACAACGACAUCCUCAACAUUAUUUUGUCUCAACCAAGGUCACUUUAUAACCUUCCUUUUGACAAGGGAGCUAUUGUUGUAUAUCUUUACCUCACUUAAAAGGUCUCACCAAG